RNAcentral lists this ribosomal RNA (803 nucleotides) under uncultured Pelagibacteraceae bacterium. Its description in RNAcentral is "bacterial SSU rRNA". It matches the Rfam family "Bacterial small subunit ribosomal RNA", at positions 35 to 886 of the family's 1533-position model. The record is from RNAcentral. Lineage: Bacteria; Pseudomonadati; Pseudomonadota; Alphaproteobacteria; Candidatus Pelagibacterales; Candidatus Pelagibacteraceae.
GCUGGCGGCACGCCUAACACAUGCAAGUCGAACGAAGUAGCAAUACUUAGUGGCAGACGGGUGAGUAACAUGUAGGUAUCUACCCUUUGGCCUGGAAUAACACGAGGAAACUUGUGCUAAUACCGGAUAAGUCUUUACGGAGAAAGCUUUAUGCACCAUUGGAUGAGCCUGCACUUGAUUAGUUUGUUGGUGGGGUAAUGGCCUACCAAGACUUUGAUCAAUAGCUGAUUUGAGAGGAUGAUCAGCCACAUUGGGACUGAGACACGGCCCAAACUCCUACGGGAGGCAGCAGUGGGGAAUCUUGCACAAUGGAGGAAACUCUGAUGCAGCGAUGCCGCGUGAGUGAAGAAGGCCUUUGGGUUGUAAAGCUCUUUCGUCGGGGAAGAAAAUGACUGUACCCGAAUAAGAAGGUCCGGCUAACUUCGUGCCAGCAGCCGCGGUAAUACGAAGGGACCUAGCGUAGUUCGGAAUUACUGGGCUUAAAGAGUUCGUAGGUGGUUGAAAAAGUUGGUGGUGAAAUCCCAGAGCUUAACUCUGGAACUGCCAUCAAAACUUUUCAGCUAGAGUUUGAUAGAGGAAAGCAGAAUUUCUAGUGUAGAGGUGAAAUUCGUAGAUAUUAGAAAGAAUACCAAUUGCGAAGGCAGCUUUCUGGAUCAUUACUGACACUGAGGAACGAAAGCAUGGGUAGCGAAGAGGAUUAGAUACCCUCGUAGUCCAUGCCGUAAACGAUGUGUGUUAGACGUUGGAAAUUUAUUUUCAGUGUCGCAGCGAAAGCGAUAAACACACCGCCUGGGGAGUACGAC